UGCGUAGGCGGGUUUCUAAAUCAGAGGUGAAAGCCUGGAGCUCAACUCCAGAACUGCCUUUGAUACUGGAAGUCUUGAGUUCGGGAGAGGUGAGUGGAACUGCGAGUGUAGAGGUGAAAUUCGUAGAUAUUCGCAAGAACACCAGUGGCGAAGGCGGCUCACUGGCCCGAUACUGACGCUGAGGCACGAAAGACGUGGGGAGGCAAACAA
RNAcentral lists this ribosomal RNA (210 nucleotides) under uncultured bacterium. RNAcentral describes it as "partial 16S ribosomal RNA". It matches the Rfam family "Bacterial small subunit ribosomal RNA", at positions 568 to 775 of the family's 1533-position model. The record is from RNAcentral.